ACAAUCAAAGAAUCGAAUCCGACAAAAUUGAAACGAUACAGAAAAAGAUUAGCAUGGCCCCUGCGCAAGGAUGACACGCACAAAUCAAGAAGUGUACCAAUCAAAA
This 106-nucleotide small nuclear RNA is filed under the name Symbiodinium microadriaticum. Lineage: Eukaryota; Dinophyceae; Suessiales; Symbiodiniaceae. The record is from RNAcentral.